GAACAACGCCGGCGUGUGUGAUGAAGGCUUUUCGGGUUCAUACAGCAUUGUUGUAGGGGAAGAAAUGCUAAAAUAGGGAAUGAUUUUAGUUUGACGGUACCAUACCAGAAAGGGACGGCUAAAUACGUGCCAGCAGCCGCGGUAAUACGUAUGUCCCGAGCGUUAUCCGGAUUUAUUGGGCGUAAAGCGAGCGCAGACGGUUGAUUAAGUCUGAUGUGAAAGCCCGGAGCUCAACUCCGGAAUGGCAUUGGAAACUGGUUAACUUGAGUGUUGUAGAGGUAAGUGGAACUCCAUGUGUAGCGGUGGAAUGCGUAGAUAUAUGGAAGAACACCAGUGGCGAAGGCGGCUUACUGGACAACAACUGACGUUGAGGCUCGAAAGUGUGGGUAGCAAACAGGAUUAGAUACCCUGGUAGUCCACACCGUAAACGAUGAAUACUAGGUGUUAGGAGGUUUCCGCCUCUUAGUGCCGAAGCUAACGCAUUAAGUAUUCCGCCUGGGGAGUACGACCGCAAGGUUGAAACUCAAAGGAAUUGACGGGGACCCGCACAAGCGGUGGAGCAUGUGGUUUAAUUCGAAGCAACGCGAAGAACCUUACCAGGUCUUGACAUCCUUUGAAGCUUUUAGAGAUAGAAGUGUUCUCUUCGGAGACAAAGUGACAGGUGGUGCAUGGUCGUCGUCAGCUCGUGUCGUGAGAUGUUGGGUUAAGUCCCGCAACGAGCGCAACCCUUAUUGUUAGUUGCCAGCAUUCAGUUGGGCACUCUAGCGAGACUGCCGGUGACAAACCGGAGGAAGGCGGGGACGACGUCAGAUCAUCAUGCCCCUUAUGACCUGGGCUACACACGUGCUACAAUGGCGUAUACAACGAGUUGCCAACCUGCGAAGGUGAGCUAAUCUCUUAAAGUACGUCUCAGUUCGGACUGCAGUCUGCAACUCGACUGCACGAAGUCGGAAUCGCUAGUAAUCGCGGAUCAGCACGCCGCGGUGAAUACGUUCCCGGGUCUUGUACACACCGCCCGUCACACCAUGGGAGUUUGUAAUGCCCAAAGCCGGUGGCCUAACCUUCGGGAGGGAGCCGUCUAA
Molecule: ribosomal RNA, 1082 nt
Filed under: Leuconostoc citreum
Lineage: Bacteria; Bacillati; Bacillota; Bacilli; Lactobacillales; Lactobacillaceae
Description: bacterial SSU rRNA
Rfam family: Bacterial small subunit ribosomal RNA
Source: RNAcentral